This 26-nucleotide non-coding RNA is filed under the name Mus musculus (house mouse). The record is from RNAcentral. Lineage: Eukaryota; Metazoa; Chordata; Mammalia; Rodentia; Muridae.
CUGAGACUAAGACCACUCAGAGAUGC